GUGAGGAAUUUUCCGCAAUGGGCGAAAGCCUGACGGAGCAAUGCCGCGUGAAGGAUGAAGGCCUAUGGGUUGUAAACUUCUUAUCUCAGAAAAGAAUUAUGACGGUAUCUGAGGAAUAAGCAUCGGCUAACUCUGUGCCAGCAGCCGCGGUAAGACAGAGGAUGCAAGCGUUAUCCGGAAUGAUUGGGCGUAAAGCGUCUGUAGGUUGUUUAAAAAGUAUUCUGUCAAAGAUUAGGGCUUAACCCUAGAUAGGCAGAAUAAACUUUUAAGCUAGAGUUUGGUAGAGGCAGAGGGAAUUCCCGGUGGAGCGGUGAAAUGCGUAGAUAUCGGGAGGAACACCAAAGGCGAAGGCACUCUGCUGGGCCAAUACUAACACUGAGAGACGAAAGCGAGGGGAGCAAAUGGGAUUAGAAACCCUUGUAGUCC
This 426-nucleotide ribosomal RNA is filed under the name uncultured bacterium. RNAcentral describes it as "partial 16S ribosomal RNA". It matches the Rfam family "Bacterial small subunit ribosomal RNA", at positions 354 to 796 of the family's 1533-position model. The record is from RNAcentral.